RNAcentral lists this ribosomal RNA (274 nucleotides) under uncultured bacterium. Its description in RNAcentral is "partial 16S ribosomal RNA". It matches the Rfam family "Bacterial small subunit ribosomal RNA", at positions 523 to 796 of the family's 1533-position model. The record is from RNAcentral.
AUACGUAGGGUGCGAGCGUUAAUCGGAAUUACUGGGCGUAAAGCGUGCGCAGGCGGUUUUGUAAGACAGGCGUGAAAUCCCCGGGCUCAACCUGGGAAUGGCGCUUGUGACUGCAAGGCUAGAGUGCGUCAGAGGGGGGUAGAAUUCCACGUGUAGCAGUGAAAUGCGUAGAGAUGUGGAGGAAUACCGAUGGCGAAGGCAGCCCCCUGGGACGGGACUGACGCUCAUGCACGAAAGCGUGGGGAGCAAACAGGAUUAGAUACCCCAGUAGUCC